AGCGAGCCCUGCCAUGGUCCGUCUACGAGGUGGCUGCAUUGGGGAAGCGUCCAGCGAGUCCUGCCAUGGUCCGUCUACGAAGUGGCUGCGUCCACUGAGCCCUGCUAUGGUCCGUGUACGAGGUGGCUGCGUCCACCGAGCCCUGCUAUGGUUCGUGUACGAGGUGGCUGCAUUGGGGUAGCGUCCAGCGAGCCCUGCCAUGGUCCGUCUAGGAGGUGGAUGCACUAGGGAAGCGUCCAUCGAGCCCUGCCAUGGUCCGUGUACGAAGUGGCGUCUGGCCCGAUGAUUGUCCACUGUCACAAGGUUAAAAUGGAGAAAGCGAUAUCAGCAUAUGGGAUUUCAAGAGCCCUUGCCUAGUUGUGAUACCAUUGGGACUUAGGCCCUUUUAGGUCUUCAUCAGUCCUCGGUCUCCAAGUGACGUUGUGUAACUGGUCUAGAGUGCUAGAAACUAACACCCCACCACCCCAAGUGCUGUGGUUGUGGUACUAAGAGGCCAUCGUACAGGCUACGAAAGGGCAGUUUUCCAACAUUAAUGCCCGAAAGCAGAUACCAACAAUCCUAGCCCAAAUUUCUAAGAUGUGAAACACAAAAUGGAGCUAGCAACGAGCCACGUAGCCACUUUCAUUCAUGAUCGGACGUCCUAGCUGUCUUGGUUUUUAAGGACACAACUUAUCUGCCAAAAAAUUAAGUGAAUGUGGAACGGUAAUGAUACGAAGAGCAAUAUAUUUAAGAGGAAUACAAUCUAAUGUCUUUUGGAUAUUGAGAUUUUUUGCGGUUCAUGGGUCACGGAUAUGAGUCGGGUGUAAUUGCAUCUAUCAAGUUAUUUCAAUAGCUUGAGAGAACUGAUGUUUGGAAUGAUCAUUAAUAAUUCCAUAAAUGGUCAAUUGAAUAAGAUAUAUUGUGGUUCUGCCUCUACAGUUAUUAUAAUAAUCAUAAAAUGAUAUCCAGAUGCUUUUAUCCACAUUCUAAAUGCAGAUAGGUUUUAGCUCACAAAAACAUUGGUAUUGCCAACACUAAUGGUCGUCUGUGCUUUAUUUCAAUCUUAGUGAUGUAGUCAUUUUUCAAAUUUGUGCUUUUGAUGAUGUGGAAUUGUUCGUCAGUAUAGCGUUUGAGAAGAUCAUAACCCGCACACUAACAACCCUCACAACUUUGUAAAAUCUGACUUGAUGUAAAUGUUUUUACAUGAAGAGGUUUUACAUUGAUAGCUGGUGCAAAAUCUUUAAUGAAAUAUUUUACGUUUGAGAAAAUACUUCAUUAUAUUUUUUGCACGCAGUCUGCUCCUUGUGAGAGAUGGCUGGGUGCACACAGGCAUCUCUCAAGAUGGAGCAUCCCACAUUACUAACAUUACUAAUCUUAUGAUUUUCUCAAGUGUUAUAGUUGACAAACAUGUCCAGUUCAUCACAAAUGCACCUUUUCUCCGGAUCAAAAAA
Lingula anatina is the source of this 1430-nucleotide long non-coding RNA. The record is from RefSeq and is a predicted model, not a curated record. NCBI's taxonomy places the organism in Eukaryota, Metazoa, Brachiopoda, Lingulata, Lingulida, Lingulidae.